RNAcentral lists this long non-coding RNA (624 nucleotides) under Rattus norvegicus (Norway rat). RNAcentral's name for it is "long non-coding RNA NONRATT002262". The record is from RNAcentral. Lineage: Eukaryota; Metazoa; Chordata; Mammalia; Rodentia; Muridae.
ACACACACUCCAUUUGUCUCUCUUCCCUGUCUUUCAUAUGGUCACUGUUUAGGACAUUUACCACUCUCCCUUCUCCAUAUCUCUACCUGUGCCCAAGUCUCCAGCUUCAUCUCCAGUCUGUUUGCAUUCUGCUUGCCCCUCAAGUUCAACCUGUUCCCUGUCCUCCUAGUCUCUAACAGAUACACUCUUUGCUACUGGUCUGUGUAUUGUCAUUCCUUGUACACUCACAAAUUCCUUUCCUUCCACAGACACUUCAUGAUGGUUUCCAUCACUACCACUGACAUAAGCAGAUCUCACAAAGGCUCCUUUUGACCUCCCAAGACCUAUAUUUUGCCAACAACCUCUCAGACUGGAAGGCCUUUUUCUGACCUUUGCCAAGCCCUAUCUUUCUUCUCUAGGCAAUAUGUCUUUCACCCACAGGGCAGUUAUACUUCCUAGGAUUUUUCAGGCCAUAGGUUUUGUAACUUCUUGUUUCUCGAGAGUGAGUUUGUUCCAUCUCCAAGUGUUUACUUUCAGUGAUAUGUCAAUGUCAAGCUUCUCUGCAGUCGGUGUUUCUCUUGCCCACACAUUGCUUUUCCCUUGGCCUUGGCUUGUUUGUAUUCACACAUCCUGUGGCCAGGAUGU